UGCCUCAGUAACGGCGAGUGAAGCGGCAACAGCUCAAAUUUGAAAUCUGGCUCCUCUCGGGGUCCGAGUUGUAAUUUGUAGAGGAUGCUUCGGGUGCGGCACCGGUCUAAGUCCCUUGGAACAGGGCGUCAUAGAGGGUGAGGAUCCCGUAUGUGACCGGCGACCAAGUCCAUGUGAAGCUCCUUCGACGAGUCGAGUUGUUUGGGAAUGCAGCUCAAAAUGGGUGGUAAAUUUCAUCUAAAGCUAAAUACCGGCCAGAGACCGAUAGCGCACAAGUAGAGUGAUCGAAAGAUGAAAAGCACUUUGGAAAGAGAGUCAAAAAGUACGUGAAAUUGUUGAAAGGGAAGCGCUUGUAACCAGACCUGCCGUCGGGUGCUCCGCGGGCAUUCUUGCCCGUUUACUCACCCGGCGAUCAGGCCAGCAUCGGUUUUGGCGGCCGGAUAAAGACUCGAGGAAUGUAGCUUCGCUUCGGGGAAGUGUUAUAGCCUCCUGUGCAAUACGGCCAGCCGGGACCGAGGACCGCGCUUCGGCUAGGAUGCUGGCGUAAUGGUUGCAAGCGACCCGUCUUGAAACACGGACCAAGGAGUCUAACAUCUAUGCGAGUGUUUGGGUGUCAAACCCAUGCGCGGAAUGAAAGUGAACGGAGGUGGGAACCCUCAAGGGCGCACCAUCGACCGAUCCGGAAGUUUACGGAUGGAUUUGAGUAUGAGCAUAGCUGUUGGGACCCGAAAGGUAUAGUCGAUCCCUCUAAUGAGUCCCUAGGAGCUUGUGCUAACGUGUGAUGCAGAUGGUGAACUAUGCCUGAAUAGGGUGAAGCCAGAGGAAACUCUGGUGGAGGCUCGCAGCGGUUCUGACGUGCAAAUCGAUCGUCAAAUUUGGGUAUAGGGGCGAAAGACUAAUCGAACCAUCUAGUAGCUGGUUCCUGCCGAAGUUUCGUAAGUUUUUCCCGGGAGACUCCCCCAAUCGAGCCCUUACUAACAUGUUCAAUAGCCUCAGGAUAGCAGUAACGUUUUCAGUUUUAUGAGGUAAAGCGAAUGAUUAGAGGCUUGGGGAUGAAACAUCCUUAGUGAGUCUUACCGGUCCCCUCCCCCUCUGGCAGCCUGCUAACUUCGAAAUUUAGACCUAUUCUCAACUUUCAAUGUGUAAGAAGUCCUUGUUACUUAGUUGAACGUGGACAUUGAAUGCACCGUUACUAGGUGCCAUUUUUGUAAGCAGAACUGCGAUGCGGGAUGAACGAACGUGGGGUUAAGGGCCGGAAUGUCGCUCAUCAGACACCAAAGGGGAGACUUGUGGUGUCUGNCCGGGGGGANAGCCCCCGGCAUUAGUNUGNGAANGGCGAGGUCUUUGACCUGUUAGGGAUCGGCGGUCGCUCAGCGAUGGCCUACCCUCUNCUGUCCNUUGGCCNGGCAGCUCACAGAUCAAGCAAAGGCCGNNGGCCGUGUGCCGUUGGAGAUAUGAUCGGCCCCUGGAGGUUCACUCCGGGGAGCAAGUGCAAAAGGUGUUGAUUCAUCUAGACAGCCGGACGGUGGCCAUNNNAGUCGGAAUCCGCUAAGGAGUGUGUAGUUGUUGCACACCACAGUACNUUCGUAUUAGCACGCGCCCCUCUUCCCGGGGGUGCAAGUGACAGCUCUUUGANGCNUGAAUGCUUUUUCGUUGAAUCGAGAUUGCCACNGGCAGUGGGGUCGCAGACCCCAUCUACAG
Molecule: ribosomal RNA, 1701 nt
Filed under: Ramalina sinensis
Lineage: Eukaryota; Fungi; Ascomycota; Lecanoromycetes; Lecanorales; Ramalinaceae
Description: partial large subunit ribosomal RNA
Rfam family: Eukaryotic large subunit ribosomal RNA
Source: RNAcentral